AUGUAAGUUUUUGCGUGAUUUUUUAUUUAUUUAAAUAAUAAAUGAUUUUUAUUAUAAUCUCAGUAAUUAAUUUUAUUAAUCAAAGAAAUUUGGAAAUAGUAAUUUUUAUAAAGUAUUGGUUAAAUUUGUGCCAGCAGCCGCGGUUAUACAAAUAAUGCAAAUAAAAUCUGUUCAGUGAAAGUUAAUUAUUUAUUGAUUUUAAAAUAAAUAUAAAUAUAAGUUUAUUAAGUGAAAUUUUAAAUUUAUAAAAUUUUAUUUUUUAAAAAAUUAUUGAAGCUUAAAAAUUUUAAUUAAAAACUAGGAUUAGAUACCCUAUUAUUUAAAAUGUAUUAAAAAUCACUUAGGUAGUAUUAGUUAUGUUCUUGAAACUUAAAAAAUUUGGCGGUAUUUUAGUCUAUUCAGAGGAACCUGUCCUGUAAUUGAUAAUCCACGAUGUACCUCACUUAAAUUUGUUUUUCAGUUUAUAUACCGUCGUUAUUAGAAUAUUUUAUUAGAAUAAUAAUUUUCAAUAAUUUAAAUUAUAAUUUAUAUCAGAUCAAGGUGUAGCUUAUGUUUAAGUAGAGAUGGGUUACAAUAAAUUUAUUUAAACGGAUUUAAUUUUUAAAUAAUUUAAUGAAGGUGGAUUUGAUAGUAAAAAUUAAAAGAUUAUAGUUUUGAUUUUAGCUCUAAAAUAUGUACACAUCGCCCGUCACUCUUACUAUUAAGGUAAGAUAAGUCGUAACAUAGUAGAUGUA
This 734-nucleotide ribosomal RNA is filed under the name Capparimyia savastani. RNAcentral's name for it is "partial 12S ribosomal RNA". The record is from RNAcentral. Lineage: Eukaryota; Metazoa; Arthropoda; Insecta; Diptera; Tephritidae.